CUACACAUGCAGUCGAANGAACUCUUCGGAGUUAGUGGCGGACGGGUGAGUAACACGUGGGAACGUGCCUUUAGGUUCGGAAUAGCUCCUGGAAACGGGUGGUAAUGCCGAAUGUGCCCUUCGGGGGAAAGAUUUAUCGCCUUUAGAGCGGCCCGCGUCUGAUUAGCUAGUUGGUGGGGUAAUGGCCCACCAAGGCUACGAUCAGUAGCUGGUCUGAGAGGAUGACCAGCCACAUUGGGACUGAGACACGGCCCAAACUCCUACGGGAGGCAGCAGUGGGGAAUCUUGCGCAAUGGGCGAAAGCCUGACGCAGCCAUGCCGCGUGUAUGAUGAAGGUCUUAGGAUUGUAAAAUACUUUCACCGGUGAAGAUAAUGACUGUAGCCGGAGAAGAAGCCCCGGCUAACUUCGUGCCAGCAGCCGCGGUAAUACGAAGGGGGCUAGCGUUGCUCGGAAUUACUGGGCGUAAAGGGAGCGUAGGCGGACAUUUAAGUCAGAGGUGAAAUCCCGGAGCUUAACUUCGGAACUGCCUUUGAUACUGGGUGUCUUGAGUGUGAGAGAGGUAUGUGGAACUCCGAGUGUAGAGGUGAAAUUCGUAGAUAUUCGGAAGAACACCAGUGGCGAAGGCGACAUACUGGCUCAUUACUGACGCUGAGGCUCGAAAGCGUGGGGAGCAAACAGGAUUAGAUACCCUGGUAGUCCACGCCGU
This 707-nucleotide ribosomal RNA is filed under the name unidentified microorganism. Its description in RNAcentral is "bacterial SSU rRNA". It matches the Rfam family "Bacterial small subunit ribosomal RNA", at positions 49 to 803 of the family's 1533-position model. The record is from RNAcentral.